This 253-nucleotide ribosomal RNA is filed under the name uncultured bacterium. RNAcentral's name for it is "partial 16S ribosomal RNA". It matches the Rfam family "Bacterial small subunit ribosomal RNA", at positions 524 to 776 of the family's 1533-position model. The record is from RNAcentral.
GACGGAGGAGGAAAGCGUUAUCCGGAAUUAUUGGGCGUAAAGCGUCCGCAGGUGGCGAUUCAAGUCUGCUGUCAAAGGUCGGGGCUUAACCCCGGGAAGGCAGUGGAAACUGAAUAGCUAGAGUGCGGUAGGGGCAGAGGGAAUUCCCGGUGUAGCGGUGAAAUGCGUAGAGAUCGGGAAGAACACCAGUGGCGAAAGAGCUCUGCGGGGCCUGCACUGACACUGAGGGACGAAAGCUAGGGGAGCGAAAGGG